RNAcentral lists this ribosomal RNA (274 nucleotides) under uncultured bacterium. RNAcentral's name for it is "partial 16S ribosomal RNA". It matches the Rfam family "Bacterial small subunit ribosomal RNA", at positions 523 to 796 of the family's 1533-position model. The record is from RNAcentral.
AUACAGAGGUGGCAAGCGUUGUUCGGAUGUAUUGGGCGUAAAGGGUUCGUAGGCGGUCUAGAAAGUCGGAUGUGAAAUCCUGCAGCUUAACUGCAGAACUGCAUUCGAAACUCCUAGACUCGAGUGUGAGAGGGGUGAAGAGAAUUCCCGGUGUAACGGUGAAAUGUGUAGAGAUCGGGAGGAAUACCAGUCGCGAAGGCGCUUCACUGGCUCACUACUGACGCUGAGGAACGAAAGCUAGGGUAGCCAACGGGAUUAGAUACCCCAGUAGUCC